RNAcentral lists this long non-coding RNA (2941 nucleotides) under Pan troglodytes (chimpanzee). Its description in RNAcentral is "long non-coding RNA NONPTRT008619". Lineage: Eukaryota; Metazoa; Chordata; Mammalia; Primates; Hominidae. The record is from RNAcentral.
UUAGAUUCAACAGAUACCCAUAAAAACCCGUAACAGUUUUUAUUAAAGAAACAAAAUACAGGGUGGUAAAAGUGACUCAUGUCUGUUGGCCAGUCUGGUCUCAAACUCCUGACCUCAAGUGAUCUAUUGGUCUUGGCCUCCCAAAGUGCUGGGAUUACAGGCGUGAGCCACCCCGCCUGGCCCAAUCUUCUUAACAUAAACACUUUAAUGUCAAUUAAUGCUUGAACUCAAUGUUAAGUCAAUUCAAACUCAAGUCAAUGCUGAAUUGACUCUAAUGCCAAUUAAUGCUUGAUGGUUUGCUAUACUCAUUGCAUUUGGAACAAUCAUCUCAAAAAUGAAUUUUCUGAUGUUCCUUAAGGGGUGAUCUCAGACUGAAGACCUUGCCACACUGAUGACAUUUGUAAGAUUUCUGUCCAGUAUGGAUUCUCUGAUGUCUAAUUAGGUGUGAACGUGAAGUAAAGGCUUUGCUGCAAUCAUCAUACUUGUGAAGUUUGUCUCCUGUAUGAAUUCUCUUGUUUUGCAUAAGAUGAAGCUAGACUGAAGACCUUGCCACAAUCAUGACAUUUGUAAGAUUUCUGUCCAGUAUGGAUUCUCUGAUGUCUAAUUAGGUGUGAACGUGAAGUAAAGGCUUUGCUGCAAUCAUCAUACUUGUGAAGUUUGUCUCCUGUAUGAAUUCUCUUGUUUUGCAUAAGAUGAAGCUAGACUGAAGACCUUGCCACAAUCAUGACAUUUGUAAGGUUUCUCUCCAGCAUGAGUUCACCGAUGAACUGCAAGGUAUGAACAACGUCUGAAAAAUUUGCCACAUUUAUUACACUUUCAAAAUCUCUCAUUAUGGAUUCUCCAAUGAUUUGAAAUGGUUGUAGUGUUACUGAAGACUUUGUGAUAAUCAUUACAUUAGUAAAGUUUCCCUAUACCAUGGAUUGCCUGAUGGUGAAUAAGUGUUGACUGCCCACUAAAGGCUUUGCCACACUCAGUACGCUUGUAAGGUUUCUCUCCAGUGUGACUUCUAGUUUGUUGGGCCAGGUGUGAAUCACGCCCAAGAUUCUUGUCACAAACUCUUACAUUUGUAAGCUUUCUCUCCAGUAUGAAUUCUCCUGUCUUUCAAGACUUGAUUUACAACUGUAAACUUUGUCACAUUCUUCAUAUUUCUAAUGUUUCUUUCCAGUAUGAAUUCUAUGAUGACGUGCAAGUUUUGCUUUUCGAUUAAAAACCUUGCCACAUUCAUUACACUUGUAAGGUUUCUCUCCAGUAUGAAUUGUCUUAUGAAUUACAAGGACUGAAUUGUGACGGAAGGUUUUGCCACACUCAUUACACUUGUAAGGUUUCUCUCCAGUAUGAAUUCUAUGAUGACAUGCAAGGUGUGCUUGUUGAUUAAAAACCUUACCACAUUUAUUACACUUGUAAGGUUUCUCUCCAGUAUGAAGUCUAUGAUGACGUGAAAGGUUUGCUUUCCGAUUAAAAACCUUGCCACAUUCACUACACUUGUAAGGUUUUUCUCCAGUAUGAAUUGCCUUAUGAAUUUCAAGGGCUGAAUUGUGACGGAAGGUCUUGCCACACUCAUUACACUUGUAAGGUUUCUCUCCACUAUGAAUUGCCUUAUGAAUUGCAAGGGCUGAAUUGUGACGGAAGUUCUUGCCACAUUCAUUACACUUGUAAGGUUUCUCUCCAGUGUGAAUUCUAGUAUGUUGUGCCAGGUGUGAAUCACGCCCAAAAGCUUUGUCACAAACCUUACAUUUGUAUGGUUUCUCUCCAGUAUGAAUUCUCCUGUGUUUUUCAAGGCUUGAUUUGCGACUGAAAACUUUGUCACAUUCUUCACAUUUGUAAGGUUUCUCUCCAGUAUGAAGUCUAAGAUGGCAUGUAAGGGAUGACUUCUGACUGAAGGCCUUGCCACACUCAUUACACUUGUAAGGUUUCUCUCCAGUAUGAAUUGCCUUGUGAAUUAUAAGGGCUGAAUUUCGACCGAAGGUCUUGCCACACUCAUUACACUUGUAAGGUUUCUCUCCAGUAUGAAGUCUACGAUGGCAUGUAAGGUAUGACUUCCGACUAAAGGUCUUGCCACAUUCAUUACACCUGUAAGGUUUCUCUCCAGUAUGAAUUCUCCUAUGUCUUUGAAGGUUUGAUUUGAAACUGAAAGCUUCAUCACAUUCUUCACAUUUGUAAGGUUUCUCUCCACUAUGAGUUCGCCAAUGAACUGCAAGGUAUGAACGAUGUCUGAAAAAUUUGCCACAUCUAUUACACUUGUACGAUCUCUCUUCAUUAUGGAUUCUCCAAUGAUUUGCAAUGGUUGUAGCAUUACUAAAGACUUGGUGACAAUCAUUACAUUUGUAAAGUUUCCCUAUACCAUGGAUUGCUUGAUGGUAAAUAAGUGCUGACUGCCCACGAAAGGCUUUGCCACACUCAUUACACUGGUAAGGUUUCUCUCCAGUAUGAAGUCUACGAUGGCGUGUAAGGGAUGACUUCCGACUAAAGGUCUUGCCACACUCAUUACACUUGUAAAGUUUCUCUCCAGUAUGAAUUAUCCUAUGUCUUUCAAGGUUUGAUUUGAAACUGAAAGCUUCAUCACAUUCUUCACAUUUGUAAGGUUUCUCUCCAGUAUGAAGUCUACGAUGGUAUACAAGGGAUGAUGUCUGACUAAAGGCCUUGCCACACUCAUUACACUUGUAUGGUUUCUCUCCAGUGUGAAUUCUCCUAUGUCUUUCAAGGUUCGAUUUGAAACUGAAAGCUUCAUCACAUUCUUCACAUUUGUAAGGUUUCUCUCCAGUAUGAAGUCUACGAUGGUAUACAAGGGAUGACAUCUGACUGAAGGUCUUGCCACAAUCAUUACACUUAUAAGGUUUCUCUCCAGUAUGAAGUCUACGAUGGCGUGUAAGGGAUGACUUCCGACUAAAGGUCCUGCUGCACUCAUUACACUUGUAAGGUUUCUCUCCAGUAUGAAGUCUAC